Molecule: long non-coding RNA, 357 nt
Organism: Empidonax traillii (willow flycatcher)
Lineage: Eukaryota; Metazoa; Chordata; Aves; Passeriformes; Tyrannidae
Exons: 3
Source: RefSeq, a predicted model, not a curated record
GUUUGGGUGCCGGCGGUGACGGGCGCGCGGCGGCAGGCUGGUAUUUUUCCCUUUGCAGGGGGGCUGGGAACAUUCAGUGCUCCAUCCUACCUUGGUGGUCCCUGUGUUGCUGUGGUCCAGGUGCCCUUAUGAGUCUUUAAAUCACAGUGACUUGGGCCAGCUGCUCUCUGACCCCUCACUGCCUUCCUGCCCCACCAUCCUCACCAGCUGUGACGUCCUUUUCCGUCUCAUCUCAGCUCCAGGAUUCCUCCAUCAGCUGGUGCAUGGAGUAAAGGAGUGCAGGAGACAGACGUGCUGUAGGAUUUUAUCCCAGAGCUGUUGCCAUAGUCCUUAUUUCUGCAAAAUAAAACAUUUUCU